Molecule: small nucleolar RNA, 133 nt
Organism: Amazona collaria (yellow-billed parrot)
Lineage: Eukaryota; Metazoa; Chordata; Aves; Psittaciformes; Psittacidae
Source: Ensembl
AGGUCCAUUCUAAUUCCCUGCAGGUCAGUGCCAGUACCUGCUGGGUUUCGCUUGUGGACCACAUUAAACUGGAGAACUUAAGCAUGCAUGAGCUGACUGGUAGUCUGCUCAUGAUGUAGUCUUCUGGACAUGU